This 253-nucleotide ribosomal RNA is filed under the name uncultured bacterium. Its description in RNAcentral is "partial 16S ribosomal RNA". It matches the Rfam family "Bacterial small subunit ribosomal RNA", at positions 524 to 776 of the family's 1533-position model. The record is from RNAcentral.
UACAGGGGUCUCAAGCGUUGUUCGGAUUCAUUGGGCGUAAAGGGCGCGUAGGCGGCGCAGAAAGUAGGGUGUGAAAGCCCUCGGCUCAACCGAGGAAUUGCGCUCUAAACUACUGUGCUUGAGGGACCUAGAGGUGAGCGGAACUGAUGGUGGAGCGGUGAAAUGCGUUGAUAUCAUCAGGAACACCGGAGGCGAAGGCGGCUCACUGGGGGUCUUCUGACGCUGAGGAACGAAAGCCAGGGGAGCGAACGGG